AAUAACCAAAGAUUACUGCUGGGUUCAAAGUUGGAUUGGUGAUGACACGAACAUCACCGCCGCCUGGUGCCCAGGUGUCAUAUACACCCCCAAAGAACAUCGCCUUAGCGACCAACAGCAAAGCACCAAUGCCCAACACAAUUAGGUGGAAACCUAAAAUGCUGGUCAUUUUGUUCUUGUCUUUCCA
Molecule: antisense RNA, 187 nt
Filed under: Crinalium epipsammum PCC 9333
Lineage: Bacteria; Bacillati; Cyanobacteriota; Cyanophyceae; Gomontiellales; Gomontiellaceae
Description: Antisense RNA which regulates isiA expression
Rfam family: Antisense RNA which regulates isiA expression
Source: Rfam by way of RNAcentral